RNAcentral lists this ribosomal RNA (377 nucleotides) under uncultured eukaryote. RNAcentral's name for it is "partial 18S ribosomal RNA". It matches the Rfam family "Eukaryotic small subunit ribosomal RNA", at positions 592 to 976 of the family's 1831-position model. The record is from RNAcentral.
CAAUAGCGUAUAUUUAAGUUGCUGCAGUUAAAAAGCUCGUAGUUGGAUUUCGGGUGGGAAUGGCCGGUCCGCCGUUUCGGUGUUCACUUGCUACGCCCACCUUGCUGCCGGGGACGUGCUCUUGAGUUCACGCUCGGGACACGGAGUCGGCGAGGUUACUUUGAGUAAAUUAGAGUGUUCAAAGCAGGCCUACGCUCUGAAUACAUUAGCAUGGAAUAACACGAUAGGACUCUGGCCUAUCUUGUUGGUCUGUAGGACCGGAGUAAUGAUUAAGAGGGACAGUCGGGGGCAUUCGUAUUUCAUUGUCAGAGGUGAAAUUCUUGGAUUUAUGAAAGACGAACUACUGCGAAAGCAUUUGCCAAGGAUGUUUUCAUUAA